RNAcentral lists this ribosomal RNA (261 nucleotides) under uncultured prokaryote. Its description in RNAcentral is "partial 16S ribosomal RNA". It matches the Rfam family "Bacterial small subunit ribosomal RNA", at positions 524 to 784 of the family's 1533-position model. The record is from RNAcentral.
UGCGGAGGGAGCUAGCGUUGUUCGGAAUUACUGGGCGUAAAGCGCACGUAGGCGGCUUUGUAAGUUAGAGGUGAAAGCCUGGAGCUCAACUCCAGAACUGCCUUUAAGACUGCAUCGCUUGAAUCCAGGAGAGGUGAGUGGAAUUCCGAGUGUAGAGGUGAAAUUCGUAGAUAUUCGGAAGAACACCAGUGGCGAAGGCGGCUCACUGGACUGGUAUUGACGCUGAGGUGCGAAAGCGUGGGGAGCAAACAGGAUUAGAUA